RNAcentral lists this ribosomal RNA (253 nucleotides) under uncultured bacterium. RNAcentral describes it as "partial 16S ribosomal RNA". It matches the Rfam family "Bacterial small subunit ribosomal RNA", at positions 524 to 776 of the family's 1533-position model. The record is from RNAcentral.
UACAGAGGUCUCAAGCGUUGUUCGGAUUCAUUGGGCGUAAAGGGCGCGUAGGCGGCCUGUUAAGUCGAACGUGAAAUCCCCGGGCUCAACCCGGGAACUGCGUCCGAUACUGGCAGGCUUGAAUUCGGGAGAGGGAUGUGGAAUUCCAGGUGUAGCGGUGAAAUGCGUAGAUAUCUGGAGGAACACCGGUGGCGAAGGCGGCAUCCUGGACCGAUAUUGACGCUGAUGCGCGAAAGCCAGGGGAGCAAACGGG